Molecule: ribosomal RNA, 502 nt
Filed under: uncultured Chlorobiota bacterium
Lineage: Bacteria; Pseudomonadati; Chlorobiota
Description: bacterial SSU rRNA
Rfam family: Bacterial small subunit ribosomal RNA
Source: RNAcentral
AGAGUUUGAUCCUGGCUCAGGAUGAACGCUAGCGGCAGGCCUAAUACAUGCAAGUCGAACGGUCAGCAAUGACAGUGGCGAACGGGUGCGUAACGCGUAAACAAUCUGCCCCGAUUUGGGGGAUAGCCCGGCGAAAGCUGGGGUAAACCCGCGUAGUUUCUUUUUAUCGCAUGGUGAGGAGAAUAGACAUUUAUGGAAUCGGGAGGGGUUUGCGUCUGAUUAGUUAGAUGGCGGGGUAACGGCCCACCAUGACGAUGAUCAGUAGGGGCUCUGAGAGGAGGGUCCCCCACAUGGGCACUGAGACACGGGCCCAACUCCUACGGGAGGCAGCAGUAGGGAAUAUUGGUCAAUGGACGGAAGUCUGAACCAGCCAUGCCGCGUGCAGGAAGAAGGCGCUCAGCGUUGUAAACUGCUUUUGAGAGGGAAGAAAGUGCAGGAUGCGUCCUGUUUUGCCGGUACCUUUCGAAUAAGCACCGGCUAACUCCGUGCCAGCAGCCGCGGU